UGGGGAAUCUUGGACAAUGGGCGCAAGCCUGAUCCAGCCAUGCCGCGUGGAUGAUGAAGGCCUUAGGGUUGUAAAAUCCUUUCGCCGAGGACGAUAAUGACGGUACUCGGAGAAGAAGCUCCGGCUAACCUCGUGCCAGCAGCCGCGGUAAUACGAAGGGGGCUAGCGUUGUUCGGAUUUACUGGGCGUAAAGCGCGUGUAGGCGGGUCGUUAAGUUGGGGGUGAAAUCCCGAGGCUCAACCUCGGAACUGCCUUCAAAACUGGCGACCUGGACCUAAGUAGAGGCAAGUGGAAUUGCGAGUGUAGCGGUGAAAUGCGUAGAUAUCAAGAGGAACACCUGAGGUGAAGACGGGUUGCUGGGCUGACACUGACGCUGAGGCGCGAAAGCCAGGGGAGCAAACGGGAUUAGAUACCCGUGUAGUCCCUGAGCGGGCUGGCAAGGCGCAU
RNAcentral lists this ribosomal RNA (447 nucleotides) under uncultured bacterium. Its description in RNAcentral is "bacterial SSU rRNA". It matches the Rfam family "Bacterial small subunit ribosomal RNA", at positions 355 to 825 of the family's 1533-position model. The record is from RNAcentral.